Molecule: ribosomal RNA, 477 nt
Filed under: uncultured bacterium
Lineage: Bacteria
Description: partial 16S ribosomal RNA
Rfam family: Bacterial small subunit ribosomal RNA
Source: RNAcentral
AUUGAACGCUGGCGGCAUGCCUUACACAUGCAAGUCGAACGGUAACAGGUUAAGCUGACGAGUGGCGAACGGGUGAGUAAUGUAUCGGAACGUGCCCAGUCGUGGGGGAUAACUGCUCGAAAGAGCAGCUAAUACCGCAUACGACCUGAGGGUGAAAGCGGGGGAUCGCAAGACCUCGCGCGAUUGGAGCGGCCGAUAUCAGAUUAGGUAGUUGGUGAGGUAAAGGCUCACCAAGCCGACGAUCUGUAGCUGGUCUGAGAGGACGACCAGCCACACUGGGACUGAGACACGGCCCAGACUCCUACGGGAGGCAGCAGUGGGGAAUUUUGGACAAUGGGCGCAAGCCUGAUACAGCCAUGCCGCGUGCGGGAAGAAGGCCUUCGGGUUGUAAACCGCUUUUGUCAGGGAAGAAAAGGUUCUGGCUAAUACCUGGGACUCAUGACGGUACCUGAAGAAUAAGCACCGGCUAACUACGUG